AGAUAUAUCACUAAAACCAGCACCCAAGUGAUGUGACUCUUCACCAGAGUCCUGCCCACAAGGAGGAUUGUGACAUUUCACUGGACCAGCACCCACUCAGGAAUCAAAUCCGAGUUCGUCUACAGCUGAUUCGGCAGGUACCAGGGCGUCCGCGAUGGUGAGUGAUAGCACCGCGAUGGUGGUAUUGCUCCAUAUGCCUGAGACCCUAACAAAAGCCUAAUUACAACUCAUAUGCCUGGAGCCAGGACAUGUGCAGGAUGGUGAUGUAACUUUCCUCUCUGGAAUGGGUCCUGCACAAAGGAAUGAUAGUAACAUAUUGCAAAGCCAGACACACAGCCAUGAUGGUCCAAGUUAUAUUGGGAUUCAGCCAAUAGAAGAUAUUUUGCCUGUCAUCCCUAAGCUUAGGACAAUAGGGUCCUGCCCACAAGAAAGAUUGUGACAUCUCACUGGACAAGCACCCACCCAGACUCUGCCAAGAGAGGGGAUUAUUACAUAUUGCAGAGCCCAGCACCUAGGUGGAGUGACUCUCAUCUUUUUCUUCUACCCCGUAUAUAGCCAGCUUGGUGACCUACUAUUUGAGUCUAUACCCAGGCCCAGACCACAGAUGAAAUUGUGCAAUAUGUGGAACAAACACCUAAACAAUAUAUAACACCUUCCUUGGCUCUGUCUACAAAGGGCACUUUUAUAUAUCACUGGGACCAUCAACCAGGUGAUGUUGUGCCAUAUAACUGAGACCGUAUCAAAAGCCUAAUAACAAGACGUAUGUCUGGAGCCCCGAUAUGCACAGGAUGGUGAUAUAACCCUCUUCUCUGGAAUGGGCCCCACACAAAGGAAGGAUAGUGACAUAUUGCAAGCCCAGGCACACAGGCCCAGAGCACAGUUGAAAUUGUGACAUAUGUACACCAAGCAACCAAGCAAUGUAUAACACCUCAUUUGGCAAUGGAAUCGAGGGCACUUUUACAUAUCACUGAGACCAGCGCCCAGCUGAUGUGAAAUAUUGGCCUGAACCCUGCCUACAAAAGCAUUGUGGCUUUUAUCUAGCUCCAUUACAUAAGUGAUGUGACUUCCUUCUACUGCCUUGGCCCUGCACUUAUGGUGAAUCGUGACACAAAAUUGGGUAGAGCAACCAGCCUGGGCCCUGACCAGCACAGAGAUUGAGGCAUAUUGCUGAACCCAGGACCAAGAUGAAGUCACUCUCCUGCCUUGAUCCUGCACACAGGGACCCUUGUGACAUAUAUACAGGCCAAUUGCCUAGGUGAUGUUGUGCAAUAUACCUGAGACCA
RNAcentral lists this long non-coding RNA (1283 nucleotides) under Homo sapiens (human). Its description in RNAcentral is "long intergenic non-protein coding RNA 293". The record is from RNAcentral. Lineage: Eukaryota; Metazoa; Chordata; Mammalia; Primates; Hominidae.